UACGUAGGGUGCGAGCGUUGUCCGGAAUUAUUGGGCGUAAGGGGCUCGUAGGCGGUUUGUCGCGUCAGGAGUGAAAACACGGGGCUUAACUCCGUGCCUGCUUCUGAUACGGGCAGACUAGAGGUAUGCAGGGGAGAACGGAAUUCCUGGUGUAACGGUGAAAUGCGCAGAUAUCAGGAGGAACACCGGUGGCGAAGGCGGUUCUCUGGGCAUUACCUGACGCUGAGGAGCGAAAGUGUGGGGAGCGAACAGG
This 253-nucleotide ribosomal RNA is filed under the name uncultured bacterium. RNAcentral describes it as "partial 16S ribosomal RNA". It matches the Rfam family "Bacterial small subunit ribosomal RNA", at positions 524 to 776 of the family's 1533-position model. The record is from RNAcentral.